Molecule: ribosomal RNA, 129 nt
Filed under: uncultured bacterium
Lineage: Bacteria
Description: partial 16S ribosomal RNA
Rfam family: Bacterial small subunit ribosomal RNA
Source: RNAcentral
CCUACGGGAGGCAGCAGUGGGGAAUAUUGCACAAUGGGCGCAAGCCUGAUGCAGCAACGCCGCGUGAGGGACGACGGCCUUCGGGUUGUAAACCUCUUUUAGCAGGGAAGAAGCGAAAGUGACGGUACC